GCUUCCACAGCAUAACGGUUAGAGUGUUCGCCUGCUGAGCCAAAGGGUUGCUGGUUCAAUUCCAGCCGGGGACU
This 74-nucleotide transfer RNA is filed under the name Sphaerodactylus townsendi. Its description in RNAcentral is "tRNA-Ser". It matches the Rfam family "tRNA". From Rfam's summary of the family: Transfer RNA (tRNA) molecules are approximately 80 nucleotides in length. The record is from RNAcentral. Lineage: Eukaryota; Metazoa; Chordata; Lepidosauria; Squamata; Sphaerodactylidae.